RNAcentral lists this unclassified non-coding RNA (355 nucleotides) under soil metagenome. RNAcentral describes it as "partial contains 5.8S ribosomal RNA, internal transcribed spacer 2, and large subunit ribosomal RNA". The stretch from base 1 to 120 matches the Rfam family "5.8S ribosomal RNA", at positions 35 to 154 of the family's 154-position model. The record is from RNAcentral.
GAUGAAGAACGCAGCGAAAUGCGAUAAGUAAUGUGAAUUGCAGAAUUCAGUGAAUCAUCGAAUCUUUGAACGCACAUUGCGCCCAUUAGUAUUCUAGUGGGCAUGCCUGUUCGAGCGUCAUUAAGUCCACUUAAGCCCAGCUUAGUGUUGGGAGACUGCUCCAGUGGUGCUACCCUGUAGCUACCCUGCAGCUCCUUAAAGACAGCGGCGGAGUCGUGUUAUCCUCUGAGCUUAGUAAAUCAUUCUAGCUUUCGAGAGUAUCACUUCACCUGCCGUUAAACCACCUAAUUUUUAUGGUUGACCUCGGAUCAGGUAGGAAUACCCGCUGAACUUAAGCAUAUCAAUAAGCGGAGGA